AGAUGUGAGGGCAAUCUGUCUGUGACAUCUGUCAUCCAUUGAUAGCCAGGGUUGAUUUGGUUGAUCCGGAUGGCUAGGCACUUGUCUCCUUCUUCCCUCACCACUUCAUGUGCAUCCCUUCUGAAACAUAUGCUUGGCUGAAAAAAAUUAAAGACAUAGAAACUCUCACUAACACCUUCUAUAAGCAUUACCAUGCUUAUAGGAUGGAAGAAUUAAUAUUAUCAAAUACCAAAUACAUAGGCAUGUACAGAUUUAAUGUCAUCCCCACCAAUGUACCAU
Molecule: small nuclear RNA, 279 nt
Filed under: Erinaceus europaeus (western European hedgehog)
Lineage: Eukaryota; Metazoa; Chordata; Mammalia; Eulipotyphla; Erinaceidae
Description: 7SK RNA
Rfam family: 7SK RNA
About the family: 7SK was discovered as an abundant small nuclear RNA in the mid-70s but a possible function has only recently been suggested. Two independent studies have found that 7SK RNA binds the CDK9/cyclin T complex (known as elongation factor P-TEFb). P-TEFb activates transcription by phosphorylating the C-terminal domain of RNA polymerase II.
Source: Rfam by way of RNAcentral